GUGUCAGCAGCCGCGGUAAUACAGAGGGUGCGAGCGUUGUUCGGAAUUAUUGGGCGUAAAGCGCAUGUAGGCGGUCUGUUAAGUCGCGUGUGAAAUCCCCAGGCUCAACCUGGGAAGUGCGCGCGAAACUGGCGGACUUGAGUGCCGGAGAGGGUGGCGGAAUUCCCGGUGUAGAGGUGAAAUUCGUAGAUAUCGGGAGGAACACCAGAGGCGAAGGCGGCCACCUGGACGAACACUGACGCUGAGACGCGAAAGCGUGGGGAGCAAACAGGAUUAGAAACCCGAGUAGUCC
RNAcentral lists this ribosomal RNA (292 nucleotides) under uncultured bacterium. Its description in RNAcentral is "partial 16S ribosomal RNA". It matches the Rfam family "Bacterial small subunit ribosomal RNA", at positions 505 to 796 of the family's 1533-position model. The record is from RNAcentral.